This 465-nucleotide ribosomal RNA is filed under the name uncultured bacterium. Its description in RNAcentral is "partial 16S ribosomal RNA". It matches the Rfam family "Bacterial small subunit ribosomal RNA", at positions 28 to 507 of the family's 1533-position model. The record is from RNAcentral.
GACGAACGCUGGCGGCGUGCUUAACACAUGCAAGUCGAACGGUAAGGCCCCUUCGGGGGUACACGAGUGGCGAACGGGUGCGUAACACGUGAGCAACCUGCCCUUGACUCUGGAAUAACAGUUGGAAACAGCUGCUAAUACUGGAUAUUCAUCGUCUCCUUCCUGGGGGGUGGUGGAAAGCUCCGGCGGUCAGGGAUGGGCUCGCGGCCUAUCAGCUUGUUGGUGAGGUAAUGGCUCACCAAGGCUUCGACGGGUAGCCGGCCUGAGAGGGCGACCGGCCACACUGGGACUGAGAUACGGCCCAGACUCCUACGGGAGGCAGCAGUGGGGAAUAUUGCACAGUGGGCGCAAGCCUGAUGCAGCAACGCCGCGUGCGGGAUGACGGCCUUCGGGUUGUAAACCGCUUUCAGUAGGGACGAAGGGUGACUGACGGUACCUACAGAAGAAGGACCGGCUAACUACGUG